GGAAGGUCCUCGGCGGGUGAACAGCGGAGGGAUCAUUACCGAGUUUACAACUCCCAAACCCCUGUGAACAUACCACUUGUUGCCUCGGCGGAUCAGCCCGCUCCCGGUAAAACGGGACGGCCCGCCAGAGGACCCCUAAACUCUGUUUCUAUAUGUAACUUCUGAGUAAAACCAUAAAUAAAUCAAAACUUUCAACAACGGAUCUCUUGGUUCUGGCAUCGAUGAAGAACGCAGCAAAAUGCGAUAAGUAAUGUGAAUUGCAGAAUUCAGUGAAUCAUCGAAUCUUUGAACGCACAUUGCGCCCGCCAGUAUUCUGGCGGGCAUGCCUGUUCGAGCGUCAUUUCAACCCUCAAGCACAGCUUGGUGUUGGGACUCGCGUUAAUUCGCGUUCCUCAAAUUGAUUGGCGGUCACGUCGAGCUUCCAUAGCGUAGUAGUAAAACCCUCGUUACUGGUAAUCGUCGCGGCCACGCCGUUAAACCCCAACUUCUGAAUGUUGACCUCGGAUCAGGUAGGAAUACCCGCUGAACUUAAGCAUAUCAUAGGCCGGGAAAGAA
This 555-nucleotide ribosomal RNA is filed under the name Fusarium sp. Its description in RNAcentral is "eukaryotic LSU rRNA". The stretch from base 187 to 340 matches the Rfam family "5.8S ribosomal RNA". Lineage: Eukaryota; Fungi; Ascomycota; Sordariomycetes; Hypocreales; Nectriaceae. The record is from RNAcentral.